Molecule: ribosomal RNA, 253 nt
Filed under: uncultured bacterium
Lineage: Bacteria
Description: partial 16S ribosomal RNA
Rfam family: Bacterial small subunit ribosomal RNA
Source: RNAcentral
UACGUAGGGUGCGAGCGUUGUCCGGAAUUAUUGGGCGUAAAGGGCUCGUAGGCGGUUUGUCGCGUCGGGAGUGAAAACCUUGGGCUUAACUCAGGGCUUGCUUUCGAUACGGGCAGACUAGAGGUAUGCAGGGGAGAACGGAAUUCCUGGUGUAGCGGUGAAAUGCGCAGAUAUCAGGAGGAACACCGGUGGCGAAGGCGGUUCUCUGGGCCUUACCUGACGCUGAGGAGCGAAAGCGUGGGGAGCGAGCAGG